AUAUCUCAACUCCUAAAGUCUGUAAUGGACGAUAGGGGCUUGGACUUGGAGGCUUGCCGGCGCUCGUCGGCUCCUCUCAAAUGCAUUAGCUAUGGAUCACGAUGUGUACGAUCUACGGUGUGAUAUAUGUCUACGCUAUAGAUCUGCACGCGAGUUACCACCUUCGGGUAGCGCCUCUUAGGGGCCGUGUGACGAGUGAAUACAGAGCUUCUAAUCGUCUUCGGACAACUUCUUUGAC
RNAcentral lists this unclassified non-coding RNA (238 nucleotides) under uncultured Agaricomycetes. RNAcentral describes it as "sequence contains ITS2". The record is from RNAcentral. Lineage: Eukaryota; Fungi; Basidiomycota; Agaricomycetes.